RNAcentral lists this ribosomal RNA (253 nucleotides) under uncultured bacterium. RNAcentral describes it as "partial 16S ribosomal RNA". It matches the Rfam family "Bacterial small subunit ribosomal RNA", at positions 524 to 776 of the family's 1533-position model. The record is from RNAcentral.
UACGUAGGGGGCAAGCGUUGUCCGGAUUUAUUGGGCGUAAAGAGCGUGUAGGCGGCUAGGUAGGUCCGUUGUGAAAACUCGAGGCUCAACCUCGAGACGUCGAUGGAAACCAUCUAGCUAGAGUCCGGAAGAGGAGAGUGGAAUUCCUGGUGUAGCGGUGAAAUGCGCAGAUAUCAGGAAGAACACCGAUGGCGAAGGCAGUGGUCUGGGCCGAAACUGACGCUGAGGAGCGAAAGUGUGGGGAGCGAACAGG